Molecule: long non-coding RNA, 2167 nt
Organism: Balaenoptera ricei (Rice's whale)
Lineage: Eukaryota; Metazoa; Chordata; Mammalia; Artiodactyla; Balaenopteridae
Exons: 2
Source: RefSeq, a predicted model, not a curated record
ACCUCUCCAGGGAUGGAGUGUUUGAGAAUGGCUGACACAGCUUUAUAUAGAAGACAGAAGAGGCGGAGUUCAGCUUAGGCUCGCUGCCGAUGCCAACUGUUACCCAUUGCCUCGCAGAAUCGAGGCUCUGCAGGCCACUUUCUCAGUUUGCACAUAUGGAAUCUGAUUGGUAUCUGCCCAGGGACCCAGGGCUCGUGGCCAGUACACGAUGGCAGGCCCUGUGGGUGUGUGACCUGGCUGUCCCCGAGCACGUCCCUCUCUGGCACUGGGCCCGAGCUGUUGUCCUUCAGAUGCUUUCCGCACUCCUGCCGGAUCUGCCUUCCUCUCCAGUCCCGCCUGGGGAGGAGACAGAGACAGAGGUGUGGACGCAGGCCUUCCUCCCCCGUUUCUGCACGAUGUGUUGCAUUGUCAGGCUGCGCCUGCUCGAAGUUGGGAACUGAGCUUUGUGCCUCUGUGAGCUUACCUCGCACCUAGCAGAGGUCCUUCUACAGAGCAGCCUCUCAAAGGAUCGUCCAGACUUACCGUAUUGUUUUUGUUUUCCUGAAAGCAGUUUAUUUAAUAAAUGGGAAGAGGGGUCCCCAAGCCCCCUGGGGUGGCCUGUAAGAGUUCUGAGAUGUGGCUUUCCUUCUCGCUGUGCUGACGUGUCUGCUGGUGGGGGGGAGUUACAGUGGUGAUAGUGUGGGUGCCCCAGACGGCAACAGGCCUGAUGCCACACUGCACAGCCCCGGGCUUCCUCCCCGCCAGGCAUUGCACGGAAGAGCCAGUUUCAGUUAGGAAUAUUCUUGAUGGGGCAGGGCGAUUGUUACUUCUGUGCGGUGUCUACGUCUCUGCCCUGGAGGUGCAGUCUUUUGAAUAUUCUGAGUGAACAAAGGGACAUGCACAUAAAGCACUUCUGCAGACGGAAGUACCGUGAUCGGCUCAGCGAGCCAGUUGCCAGCUGAACUAACCACUGUUUUCAAGGGACACCAUUCUUACCGGAAAGAACGACUUACAGAUAAACUGUGGUUUUUCAGACUUGAGUACCUGCCAGAUAUUUCCUUUAGAAGGAAGUUGGGCUGUCACUUUAAGGAAGACAACUGCCAGCGAUGACAUUUCAGCUUUCGAGUGGAAAUUGGCGUUCUGGAGCGUGUGCGUUCCCCACUUGGUGUCUGCUGACCCGUGUCACCUUGGGAAGCCCUCACAGAAGCAGCUCUUUCCCAGGAUGAGUCCUGCCGUCGCAGGCACAGUGCGGGGCUGUGGUGUGGUCAAGGGCACGGCCAAGUGCACGGAGCUCGCCCAGGACAGCGUCCCACCUGCGGUCGCCACGCUGCCCCCGCCUGGCUUCCGCGUAGCGUCAGACGAGCACACCCACAGCUGCCCCGGAGCCGCGGAGAUGCUCCCCCUAUUCCAGCCGCGUCUCUGCGAGGUGGUUUCCUGCGUCGCUGCCACCCAAACACCUGUCACAACACGCGGAUCUCGGAAGCAGAGGUGACAGCUGCCCUCCUGUGUGAGGCCGCACGGGUUUGCAGGCAGCGCCUCCUUCCACCGGCUGUUUUCCGUUUUGGAAAAGGCGCUUCUUUUUUUCCUAAAAAAGAGGCGAUCUGUGUUAACACUCAAUGAUGUUCAUCAUUAUUUUUAAAUGAAUUAGGUAAAUAUUUUUUAAAACUCUCAGUUUUAACUUCUAACAUGGUAAAUAUUGAUAGGUACAACCACAUAACGAAAGCUCUUUGAGGUCCUGAAUAAUUUUUAAGAGGGUGGAGGGGCCCUGAGACUAGAAAUUGUGGAAACUGCUGUGCUAAGCCAUCUGGUGUGGACAAUCAUAUAUUUUUUUAAGGCACUUAAAAAGAUUUUCUCCUUGGUGUUCUGAUCCUAAGGCCCUGCGGAGGCCGAGGAGGUGUGCUGGGCUGUCAAGGGGAAGUGUUGACCUUAGCGGGUGCGUGUGCGCCUGUGUGGGGAUGGGGGGUGGUAUACAGACCUGGCAGGUCAGGGUUUCUCUGGGGCCCGCCUGGGUGGGCAGGCGGUCUCAAGGGUGACAGGAGCCCCGCGGGGGGCCCACAGACGCUGCUAAACAGGAGUUGUAGCUAUUUAAAGUGAUCGAUUAUCUAUGCAUGCAUUAUAUUUACGUUACAUUGAAUUAUAGAUUAUUAUGGCUUAUUCCAUAAAUAAAUACUAGUUGAUGAAGAAUGAA